This 437-nucleotide small RNA is filed under the name Pongo abelii (Sumatran orangutan). RNAcentral's name for it is "processed transcript". The record is from RNAcentral. Lineage: Eukaryota; Metazoa; Chordata; Mammalia; Primates; Hominidae.
ACUCAGAAAGGCUGGGCCUCCUUCUUCGAUCCCAGUGACAGAAGCAGACUUGCCUCCUCAGAAGCUGGCCAUCUGUCUGGUUAUCUUCACUUACCGGGGUGAUGUUAAGAUUCAUCCUGCUGUUGCAUGUAUCACUGAGGAGUACGCCACUGUGGUUAUACCAAAAUUUGCCUCUUGAUUCACCAGGUCAGCACUUAUCACCCGGCACCUGUCUCUCCAGGACAUUCCACAGCUGUGGUCAGUCUGCCUGGCUCCCAGCAACACCUCUCAGCGAACAUGUUUGUAGCCCUGCACUCCUACUCAGCCCAUGGACCCGAUGAGCUGGACCUGCAAAAGGGAGAAGGCGUCAGGGUCCUGGGGAAGUGCCAGGACGGCUGGCUCAGGGGCGUCUCCUUGGUCACCGGGCGAGUUGGCAUCUUCCCAAACAAUUAUGUCAU